This 790-nucleotide long non-coding RNA is filed under the name Vigna radiata. RNAcentral describes it as "long non-coding RNA (VRAD_LNC007236)". Lineage: Eukaryota; Viridiplantae; Streptophyta; Magnoliopsida; Fabales; Fabaceae. The record is from RNAcentral.
GGUGAUCGCAGAGUAUUUAGGAAUGUGUCAACCAUCUCAUUAUCACUCAUAAUAAACUUCCCUUGAGCAACAUCCCACUUUUGGGUAUAGUCUUUGAAUGAUUUUGAGUCCUUUUUCAUCAUACCCUGUAGUUGUAAUCUAUGAGAUGCCACAUUCGUGUUAUAUUUGAAAUGCUUCAAGAAAGCACCCACCAGAUCCUCCCAAGACUGGAUGCACGAAUGUUCAAGAUGAUAGCCUCAGUUUAGUGGCCUGUCAGACAAUCUACCUUGGAAGGAAUGAAUUAGCAACCUUUCAUCACAUGCAUGAACUACCAUUUUUUUCCCAUACGCCAUGAGAUGAGUCUUAAGACAAAUGGUCCCUUUAUAUUUCUCACCUUUGGAAAAUUUAAACUUUUGAAUGUAUCAUCAGAUUCGGGGUUAAGCAAGCCUUGCAACAUUUUCAGACUUAACGCUUCAUUCACCUUCUAUGGCUGUCAUCCUUUUUCAGCAUUUCAAAUUUACCCCUGUCAACCUCGACAUCCACUAGUGUACAAAAGGGGAAAGAAUAUUUCAACUCAGAUUGCCUUGUCAUCGUCAUGCUCGCAAUACUUGAUUAAAGCAUUUUCCUAGGGACCAUGAAAGUGGUUGCCCCAAUCUUGUUUUACACUUCAACUUCGUUAUCUUCUGCCUUUCGAGUGCGAACUUGCCCCAAGUAUGCUCCUGAGGGUGAAGUGUAAUUUAUGGAAGACCAUGUAAGGGAAAAUUUGGGCCUCUCGAUCUUUGUGUUGAGGCUGAGGUGCACAGGAAUCUNN